RNAcentral lists this ribosomal RNA (441 nucleotides) under uncultured bacterium. Its description in RNAcentral is "partial 16S ribosomal RNA". It matches the Rfam family "Bacterial small subunit ribosomal RNA", at positions 338 to 795 of the family's 1533-position model. The record is from RNAcentral.
CCUACGGGUGGCAGCAGUGGGGGAUAUUGCACAAUGGGGGAAACCCUGAUGCAGCGACGCCGCGUGGGUGAAGAAGUAUUUCGGUAUGUAAAGCCCUAUCAGCAGGGAAGAAGGAGGACGGUACCUGACUAAGAAGCCCCGGCUAACUACGUGCCAGCAGCCGCGGUAAUACGUAGGGGGCAAGCGUUAUCCGGAUUUACUGGGUGUAAAGGGGGCGCAGACGGCAGCGCAAGCCAGGAGUGAAAGCCCGGGGCCCAACCCCGGGACUGCUCUUGGAACUGCGCGGCUGGAGUGCAGGAGGGGCAGGCGGAAUUCCUGGUGUAGCGGUGAAAUGCGUAGAUAUCAGGAGGAACACCGGUGGCGAAGGCGGCCUGCUGGACUGCGACUGACGUUGAGGCCCGAAAGCGUGGGGAGCAAACAGGAUUAGAUACCCGAGUAGUC